AGCAGUCGCCGCGGGAAUACGGAGGGAGCUAGCGUUGUUCGGAAUCACUGGGCGUAAAGCGCACGUAGGCGGCUAUUCAAGUCAGGGGUGAAAGCCCGGGGCUCAACCCCGGAACUGCCUUUGAAACUAGAUAGCUUGAAUCUUGGAGAGGCGAGUGGAAUUCCGAGUGUAGAGGUGAAAUUCGUAGAUAUUCGGAAGAACACCAGUGGCGAAGGCGACACACUGGCCCAUUACUGACGCUGAGGCUCGAAAGCGUGGGGAGCAAACAGGAUUAGAUACCCGGGUAGUCCCUGUCUCUUAUAC
This 303-nucleotide ribosomal RNA is filed under the name uncultured bacterium. RNAcentral's name for it is "partial 16S ribosomal RNA". It matches the Rfam family "Bacterial small subunit ribosomal RNA", at positions 507 to 807 of the family's 1533-position model. The record is from RNAcentral.